UACAGGGGGGGCAAGCGUUGUUCGGAAUUACUGGGCGUAAAGGGUCUGUAGGUGGCCAACUAAGUCAGACGUGAAAUCCCUCAGCUUAACUGGGGAACUGCGUCUGAUACUGGAUGGCUUGAGUGCAGGAGAGGAAUGCGGAAUUCCAGGUGUAGCGGUGAAAUGCGUAGAUAUCUGGAGGAACACCGGUGGCGAAGGCGGCAUUCUGGACUGUAACUGACACUGAGAGACGAAAGCCAGGGGAGCGAACGGG
RNAcentral lists this ribosomal RNA (253 nucleotides) under uncultured bacterium. RNAcentral's name for it is "partial 16S ribosomal RNA". It matches the Rfam family "Bacterial small subunit ribosomal RNA", at positions 524 to 776 of the family's 1533-position model. The record is from RNAcentral.